GUUUAUGCGAUGGAGAUGAUGAACGUUGUUGUUGUGGAUGCAGAUUCGUGGAUGAGUGUCAUGGAGAUUGUUGAAUCGUAUUUGCGAUGAGAACGAAGACGCGACGAAGAUUGAAGUGUUGUUGUUGUGAUUGAAGCGUCAAGGAGUGGAUUCGAGUUCAGAUUGUGGUGAGUCCCUUUCUUUGUCAAUCUUUUCUCUCUGACCUUCUGCUCGAUAUUAAUCACCUCUCUGUGUCUCCUUUUUUCUGGUUGUGUCGAAGAAGAUUAAAAGGAUUUAUGGUUUCUGAAGGGAGAGGUAUCAAGACAGAAUUUGAAGGUUGAUCUAUGAAGAUGAUGAAGUUAUUGAAGGAGGAGGAGAAGAAGAUGAAGGUGGAGUGAAUUGGAGCCGGUGGUGAAGUGAAGGAGAUUCUGAUUUAUAGUGAUUGAAGGUUCAGUUCAGGUUCAGAUGCAAGUAGAAGCAAGCCAAUUGUGCAGUAUUUCGGACAAGCUUGUGAGUUGUCAUAACGAGGUGAACGGAAUCAAAUGUCGACGGACUCUUCAGGAGCUGAUACUGCAGCGUCGUUCAAACGAUGAGAUCGAGUUGAAAUCACUGUUACCAUGAACUUGCGGAAGAUUUGUGAAGCUGCGUUGCAUUGUUGGGCUUGGAUUCAGUUUGGGAAUUGGGUGAGUGAUUUGUAUGGUAUGGGGCUGCAGUGAAGAUGUUUGAAAAGCACAUCAUGGCUUGGAACUUUAGCAGGAGGUUUAAUUCGAUUUUUUCGAAGAAUAAAAUGUUGCAAGUUUCUUGAUGUAAUUUUUGAAUGGAGUUUGAAUUUGGAUACAAGAGCAUGACCUUUUUUUUUUUGUGUAACGGAUCUUGAUGAAUGUUGUAAGGAUACUUUUUGUAAUAUGUGUAUGGACUUUGAAUAUUUGUAAUGAAUUUCUGUUGAUGUAAUGAUAGA
Molecule: long non-coding RNA, 937 nt
Organism: Vicia villosa (hairy vetch)
Lineage: Eukaryota; Viridiplantae; Streptophyta; Magnoliopsida; Fabales; Fabaceae
Exons: 4
Source: RefSeq, a predicted model, not a curated record